RNAcentral lists this long non-coding RNA (562 nucleotides) under Glycine max (soybean). Its description in RNAcentral is "long non-coding RNA (GMAX_LNC003816)". The record is from RNAcentral. Lineage: Eukaryota; Viridiplantae; Streptophyta; Magnoliopsida; Fabales; Fabaceae.
CACAAGUCUAAAAAGAAGAAAAAUACACUGAAGCAAUAGAAAAAGUAUUUAAAUUAAAAAUCGAAAGUUUUGAAGAUUAAAAAAUGAAAAAGUUAAUUUAGCAGUUUAAUCAUUCACUGCGCCUGGAGAAAACAGACGAAGGCGAAGUGACUCAACAUUCCUGCGAAAAAUCUAUGCCUCUUUUUAUCAUUGAUUAGGAGAUAACCCAUAAUACAUGGCCGGUGAAUCAAAGGCAUCUCAAGAGGCAAAUGAACAUUAAAUAAAGAAAAUUGAAACAACUAAAGCUACGCCGUUGGUAGAAUGGAUGAAACUUACAGAGGAAUAGGGUUUUCUGUAACCCUUUGUGUUUGUGUGAAGAAGGAGAGCCUCUGAGUUAUAUAAUGGUCGUAUUUGAAAUAGGGUUUUUAUUUUUGUGAAAAGACUAAAGAACCUCCCUUAUUCUUUUAAUUACGACUUUGACCCUUCGUUCUUUUUUUCUCUUAGGUCGAAAAGCCCUUUCGUCCUAUGAACUUUGAGAUGAACUUUCAACUAGUCGCCCUAUUGGACUGGACUCCAUAACUUU